This 292-nucleotide ribosomal RNA is filed under the name uncultured bacterium. RNAcentral's name for it is "partial 16S ribosomal RNA". It matches the Rfam family "Bacterial small subunit ribosomal RNA", at positions 505 to 796 of the family's 1533-position model. The record is from RNAcentral.
GUGCCAGCCGCCGCGGUAAUACAGAGGUCCCAAGCGUUGUUCGGAUUCACUGGGCGUAAAGGGUGCGUAGGUGGUCGGGUAAGUCUGAUGUGAAAUCUCCGAGCUUAACUCGGAAAUGGCAUUGGAUACUAUUUGACUGGAGGGUUGGAGGGGGGACUGGAAUUCUCGGUGUAGCAGUGAAAUGCGUAGAUAUCGAGAGGAACACCAGUGGCGAAGGCGAGUCCCUGGACAACUCCUGACACUGAGGCACGAAAGCUAGGGGAGCAAACAGGAUUAGAUACCCUGGUAGUCC